UACGGAGGGUGCAAGCGUUAUCCGGAUUCACUGGGUUUAAAGGGAGCGUAGGUGGGUUGGUAAGUCAGUGGUGAAAUCCCCGAGCUUAACUUGGGAACUGCCAUUAAUACUAUCAGUCUUGAAUACUGUGGAGGUUAGCGGAAUAUGUCAUGUAGCGGUGAAAUGCUUAGAUAUGACAUAGAACACCAAUUGCGAAGGCAGCUGGCUACACAAAUAUUGACACUGAGGCUCGAAAGCGUGGGGAUCAAACAGG
Molecule: ribosomal RNA, 253 nt
Filed under: uncultured bacterium
Lineage: Bacteria
Description: partial 16S ribosomal RNA
Rfam family: Bacterial small subunit ribosomal RNA
Source: RNAcentral